ACUUGCUUGUGUUCUAGACAUCAGGGUGUUUGGUCUCAUCAGUACAUUUCACUAUCAGAGAUUGUUAAAGUACUGGCCCUCAGCUCCUACUUGACCAACUUCUUAAUCUCUUGAUUAUAUAUUGACUGCUAUACAAAUAAUACUCCACUUUACAUAGAAGGGAUCUGAAGAUGCGAGUUUUACUUAUAAAACUGUGGCACCAAAGACACAGCUGGAAGAUACAACCGUGUCCCUGUGCAACUGGACAUCUGAGCUUUAGGAACAUGGUCAGGACAUGACAACUGACUGGCUGGCCUCCUGGGGAUUCCACAGCUACAAUGGCUACCAUAAUCAGGUGGGCUGGGGGGCUUCUGGCUUUUCCAAUACCCUUAUCCCGCCAUGGAGUGAAGAUGCUGUAGAAUUGCCCACAGAGCAGAAAAGCAUGUGUUUUAGCCACUAGCAAAGCAAAUGCCAAUCUCUCCCCUUCCCUGCCCAUCCAAUCAGUUGAAAGUCUUGAGUGAAAAGACUGAGAACCCCCGGAAGGAAGGAAUUCUGUCUUUGGACUCAAGACUAUAACAUCAACUCUCCCUUGGGUCUUCAUCCUGCCAUACUCAUUUCAUGCUAAUUCCCACCACACCAUUGUAUGAGACAAUUCCUUAAAAUCUCCCCUGUCUCUCUUUCUCUCACACCCUCCACCCCCCAUCUCUCUCCUAUGGUGCUGUUUCUCUGGAGGGCCCUAACAAAGCAGGAAAGGUAGGCAUGGAAACAAUGGGUAAAAUAAUAUGCCUGAAAUUUUAAUAAAUGUUUCAUUUUCCUAUUAUUUCUCCUUCUUCCCAUCCCUCAAGCCAAGCUGCUUGGUACUCAGUGCCCAUUGCUUUAAGUUUAGAUGUUAACAGAAAGAAAUGAAUCUUUCUGACUUUGGUUUCCAAAAACCUAAUAGCCCUUAGAGAACUGUAGAAGACUUUAUUUAGAACUAAAAUAUUUGGGAGAUGUGGAGUUUCAGGGAAGCCUGUUUCCUCUGGACUAGGAGAGAUCCCCCAGGCAUGUGGAAGGGUAGGUGAAGGAGACAUGAAGUGGCCAGAAAUGUUGUCAGUCCUGAAGAUCCAGUGGGGGGGUGUGGGUCAAGAGAAGGCAAGACCCCGGCUACAGAAUGGCUAUGCAAUGAGUCUGGACAAAUAGUUCUUUCACAGAGUUCUUAUACUAUCUCCAGGCAGAGAGUCCUAUCUCCCAAAUGAGACAUGAAAGUCACAAUGAGAGCCUACUACUACCUGUGAAGGGGCAAAAAGACUAGGAACUCCUUUCAGCAGUGACCUACAUGUCUCCAUGGCCUAUAAUUAGGAGAACAAAGGAUGUUUCGGCAGUUGACACCCUUGUAGACAGGUGGCUCAAGACCAGUGGGCCUUUACCAACACAACGACCUGGCACAACCUAAAUGUUAGGAAGUCAGACAACACCAGAGAAACUCCAAGUUGGCUGAGUAAGUUUCCACCACUUUAUAGAAUGGAAACUCAAUAGUUUAGAGAAAAAUAUGUCUUAGUCAUCUAGAUUGUGACAAGCAACACACAAGAAUGGGAUGGCUUUGGGGAAUUGAAAGAUGGUCAUGAGGGUGGAGCAUGGUGAGUGAGGGGAAGGUAGCCCCAGAUGAGGUUGCUAAUAUGGGCAGGGGUCAGAUUGUGUAGGACUGCACAGAGCAUGUCAGAGAAUUCGUAUUUUAAGUGAAUUGGAAAAUGUUGAAGGAUUGCAAGCACUGCUCCAUUUUUAAAGAUCACAUUGCUGCAUGGGGAAGGGAUAGCCUGUGUGCAGGUUGGCAGACUAGUUGAGAGGCUAUUGCAGUCUUCUAGGUGAGAGAAGAUGGUGGUUCAAACCAGACUGAGGGCAGUAGAGUGAGUGGAUGGAUCCUUGAAAUGUUUUCGUAGUGGAAUAAACAAGAUCUGGCCAUUGGGGGGAAUUUGGGGAGUGAGGCAAAGUGAGGGGGUCAAUAGAACUCUCAAGUUUCUGUUCGAGCAAUGAGUGGAAAAUGAAGCCAUUUACUGAAGAAAGGAAAUCUGGGGAGAAAACAAGUGUAUGUAAAGGAAUCCAAACUUCUGUUGUGGACAUAAUAAGUUUGAGGUACUCGAGAGACAACCAAAUGGGAAUCUCCGGAAGGUGUGAAUGGUGCAGAGCACAGAGAACACGUCUGGGUUGGAGAUGGGAAUAUGAAUGUCACCAGCUAGACUUUGCUGCUUUUUGUUUUGUUUUGUUUGCCUUGAUCCUACACCUGCCCAACUCCCAUUCACCCUUCAGCUCUCAGCUUUAACAUCGCUUCCUCAGAUGUGCCUCCUCUGAGGCAUGAAUCAGUAUAAAUCAGUGUGAAUCAGCCUCUCCACUAGACUCGCUCUCUAUUUAAAUGCUUUCUUCAAAGCACUUAUCAUGGUUUGAAACUAAAGACUUACGUUGGCUCGUUCUUUAGGAAUGAAUCUCAGACCAUGAUUAAAAUCUCUAGAAAAAAAGGAUUUUAUUUUUCUAUAAAGAAAUCAUUUGGGGCUCUAAAUUUGAGGAAGAGAAGCAGGUAGGAAAGAAAAGAGGGCCCAGAGCUGAGUGUAGAUAAAUUGCCACAUUUCCGGGUCACACAGAAGGGAAGAAGCUGACGAAACCAGCCAAGAAGGAGAUAGGAAGAAAACAAAGAGUCCGGGCUGCCACGGAGAAGAAAGAUGGGAGAGUCUCAGGAACUAGGGUGUGUCCCUGUAUCAAAGACCGCUGAGAAGUCAAGCACGCAAAGCCUGCAAUGACUAUUGGAUUUACAACAUGGUGGGCGUGUGGUCUUUGUAAGAACAGUCUGGGUGGAGCGGUGUGGGUAGAAGGCAAGCUGCAGUGAGGAGAACAAAUGGAAAGGAGGAAUGGGAGAGAAUAUGCGAAGACAAUCGUUCCAAGGAGUUGUGUUGUUGGGGGAGAGAGAAGCAAGGCAGUAGCCCCAUCUCCUGGGGUUAAAGGAGAUGUUAGAGCUGUGAGGUAGGGAAGCGUGUAUAUAGGUGGCAACCAUGACUGAGGGGUGGUGUGGGGAGAAAUAGUAUCAGAAGGAAUUAGAGAGGAAUAAGGAAGGCAGAGGAAGGGAACGAGCAGAUAUGGGAAGUGGUGACACACAGAGAAUGGAGCCAAGGAGGCUCCGAAGCCCACCGCCAGAGCGGCCCCCAGCCAUGGCCGGAUCCAGACGAGCCGGGAGGCUCCUCUGCAGCCUGCAGGGCAGAGAGGAGAUAGCAGCUGCUGCUCGUGGAGAGGAGGCCGUCGUUCUGGCUAAGCGGUUAGGCAGUCUGUCGGCGGCCAGACCCUGGCCGCCAGCCAGCUCCACGCUGGGAGUGGAGUAACGAGUCUCCUGGCAGGCGGUGUUGAAGAGGAAGGACAGUGUGGGGAUAUGUGUAUUGAGAUCUGCAAACCUGAAGGCUCGACAGAAAGAAGGUUUGAUUCAGAAAGUUAAGGGGCUGAGCUCCAGGAGGCCAUCCCCAUCUUGUCCAGCCGCUAGAGGACAACAGCAAGAAGAGACCUUCCCAAUGGACCCUCUUCACAAUAAGGUGUUCUGGGAGGAGGUGACUGGCAGCCGUGAAGAAGAAGGGAUGGUCCCAAAGGACUUCAUGACUCAGCAGGGAACUCCAGAGCUUCUGACCUGUGGGGUGUGCUCCUAAAGCACAUCAGUGGGCCUUUGAGUGCCAAGAAUUGAUGAGACCUGGCCUCUCUGCA
This is a long non-coding RNA of Felis catus (domestic cat), 3690 nucleotides long. RefSeq lists it as uncharacterized. NCBI's taxonomy places the organism in Eukaryota, Metazoa, Chordata, Mammalia, Carnivora, Felidae. The record is from RefSeq and is a predicted model, not a curated record. The transcript has 4 exons.